RNAcentral lists this ribosomal RNA (468 nucleotides) under uncultured bacterium. RNAcentral's name for it is "partial 16S ribosomal RNA". It matches the Rfam family "Bacterial small subunit ribosomal RNA", at positions 28 to 507 of the family's 1533-position model. The record is from RNAcentral.
GACGAACGCUGGCGGCGUGCUUAACACAUGCAAGUCGAACGGAAAGGCCCUGCUUUUGUGGGGUGCUCGAGUGGCGAACGGGUGAGUAACACGUGAGUAACCUGCCCUUGACUUUGGGAUAACUUCAGGAAACUGGGGCUAAUACCUGAUAGGAGCUCCUGCUUCAUGGUGGGGGUUGGAAAGUUUCGGCGGUUGGGGAUGGACUCGCGGCUUAUCAGCUUGUUGGUGGGGUAGUGGCUUACCAAGGCUUUGACGGGUAGCCGGCCUGAGAGGGUGACCGGCCACAUUGGGCCUGAGAUAGGGACCAGAAGCGUACGGGAGGCAGCAGUGGGGAAUAUUGCACAAUGGGCGGAAGCCUGAUGCAGAAACGCUGCGUGCGGGAUGACGGCUUUCGGGUUGUAAACCGCUUUCGCCUGUGACGAAGCGUGAGUGACGGUAAUGGGUAAAGAAGCACCGGCUAACUACGUG